UUUUUGAAGAGCUUGAUCCUGGCUCAGAGCGAACGCUAGCGGUGCGCCUAAGGCAUGCAAGUCGAGCGCUGCGUUGCACACAGAACACAAUUGGCUCUGUAUUGGCUAUUAGCAAUUGGCUACGAGCGAUAUUCGUUCGAGCUCACUGCUAAAAGCUACAAGCUGACUGUGCUCUGCGUGCAGCGCAGAGCGGCAAACGGCUGCGUAACACGUGGGAACCUACCCCGUACUCAGGGAUAACCCGAGGAAACUCGGGCUAAUACCGGAUAGUCUCGUAAGAGCAAAGCUUUUGCGGUACGGGAGGGGCCUGCGGCCUAUCAGCUUGUUGGUAAGGUAACGGCUUACCAAGGCAAUGACGGGUAGCUGGUCUGAGAGGACGACCAGCCAGAAUGGGACUGCGACACGGCCCAUACUCCUACGGGAGGCAGCAGCUAGGAAUCUUCCGCAAUGGGGGCAACCCUGACGGAGCGACACCGCGUGGGGGAUGAAGCGUGUUUCACGCGUAAACUCCUGUUCUGAGGGACGAAAUUUUUGACGGUACCUCAGCAGAAAGCACCGGCUAACCCCGUGCCAGCAGCCGCGGUAAGACGGGGGGUGCAAGCGUUGCUCGGAAUUACUGGGCGUAAAGCGUCUGCAGGCGUCCUGCACAGGUCUAUUGUGAAAUCUCACAGCUCAACUGUGAAUCUGGAAUAGAAACCAGCAGGAUUGAGUCAUCCAGAGGCACCUGGAAUGCCAUGUGUAGGGGUUAAAUCCGUUGAUCCAUGGUAGAACGCCAAAAGCGAAGGCAGGGUGCUGGGGAUGUACUGACGCUCAGAGACGAAAGCGUGGGGAGCGAAGGGGAUUAGAUACCCCCGUAGUCCACGCCCUAAACGAUGUGUGCUCGGUGUGGGGACUUCAAUCAGUCUCUGUACCCUAAGCUAACGCGGUAAGCACACCGCCUGAGUAGUACGGUCGCAAGACUAAAACUUAAAGGAAUAGACGGGGACCCACACAAGCGGUGGAGCAUGGGGUUUAAUUCGAUAAUAAGCGAAGAACCUCACCCAGGCUUGACAUCUCGGGAAUCGACUGGAAACAGUUGAGUGCCGCAAGGAACCCGAAGACAGGCGCUGCACGGUCGUCGUCAGCUCGUGCCUUGAGGUGUACUGUUAAGUCAGUUAACGAGCGCAACCCUCAUCCUGUGUUGUUCUUUCACAGGAGACUGCCGCCUCCAAGGCGGAGGAAGGUGAGGAUGACGUCAGAUCAGCGUGGCCCUUAUGUCUGGGGCAACACCCAUGCUACAAUGGUCGGUACAGAGGGCAGCAAAACCGCGAGGUGAAGCCAAUCCCAUAAAACCGAUCUCAGUUCGGAUUGCAGUCUGCAACUCGACUGCAUGAAGUUGGAAUCGCUAGUAACCGUGAAUCAGCUACGUCACGGUGAAUAUGUUCCUGGGUCUUGUACUCACCGCCCGUCAACUCAUGGAAGGCAGGAGCACCCGAAGGACCCUUACCCCGCACCCUUGAUGGACUCGAAACAGUUCAUCAUCUUUCGUAACCGAGAUGUAAGACAUGAUCUUACAUCAAGGGUGCGGGGGGGGUACCACGGUGAUAUUGCUGACUGGGAGUAAGUCGUAACAAGGUAUCCGUAGGAGAACCUGCGGAUGGAACGUUUCCUUA
Candidatus Peribacteria bacterium is the source of this 1652-nucleotide non-coding RNA. NCBI's taxonomy places the organism in Bacteria, Candidatus Peregrinibacteriota, Candidatus Peribacteria. The record is from Rfam.